AUAUAUAACCAUGUGUACUUAUGACUGUGGUUGUCUCCCCCUUUCUAUCAGUGUGUGUGCGUGUGUGUGUUUAAUUAUGUCAGUGUGCAUGUAUUUCCGUCGUUAUAUAUAUAUAUAUAUAUAAAACGAUGUGUACUUAUGACUGUAGUUGUCUCCCCCUCUCUGUCUGUGUGUACACAUGUAUUACGUGUAUCACUGUGUGUCUUGAUGUGAUUGUGUGUGUAUGAACUUGCUCUAUAUAACGUGUGCCUGUAACUGUGUAGUUGUCUCCCCCUUUCUACUCUCUCUCUUUCACGUGAAUGUAUGUAUGUAUGUGUGUCUUGAUCGUGUUUGUUUAUAUAGCGUGUGUGACUGUGACCAUGGUUUUUCUCCCUCUCGAUAUCUUUUUCUCUGUGUGUCUGCUAUGCGUAUGUUUAUUUCGCCAUCUCUCACUCAUACGUAUGUGUUUGUGUGUUGUGUGCGUGUGUCUGUGUGUGCGUGCGUACGCGCAUUCGUUUAGUUGCUUAGCCCCAGGUCUACUCUGAUUGAGUAAAUCUAUGAUCAGAAGCGUUCCAGCAAAACCAUUCCGUCCUUUUGUGUCAGGAAAUUGUAUUUUUCAACGUAUCCUUUUCUUUAUAAGACGACAGAGUAUAUAUAUAUAUAUAUAUAUAAGGGAGAUUUGGCUAUUAUUUCUAGAAGAUCGAGUAAUCACAUAGAGGCUCCCUCGUUAUAUCGAUGUAUUUGUCACCCUCCCUCUUAAUUAGUCUGUCUCUAUCGUCUAGUUAUAUGUGUUAACUCCCUCUCUUUCAUUUCUCUCUCUCUGUAUAUUUGUUUGUUUGUCUCUCUCUCUGUAUAUUUAUUUGUUUGUCUUUACCUUUUUCUUUUACAUCAAUUUCCCCUCAUGCUUUUCUUGUGUUUUAUAAUCGUUUAUUUGUAUUUAUAUUUCUUGAGCUUUUCGCCAUCUCUUUCUUUCUAUAUAUAUAUAUAUAUAAAUAUAUAUAUAUAUAUACAUCUAUCUCUCUUCCUGUGUGUAUAUGUAUUUCUGUGAGCGUGUGUACAUUUCUGCAUCUACUUGUAGCUGUAGAUAUAUGUAUGGGCUUACUUGUAGCUGCAUUAGUAGUGUAUAACCAGACAAAUAGAUGUGUGCGAAUAUCUUAAAUCUACCGAACUUGAUCGUGCGGCUGCUUCAAACUGUAUCUAUGUUUAUGUAUAUGUAUGUAUGUGAUUUAAAACUAUAUGAUUUUGUGAGUGUGUGUGUGUGCGAAUGCGAAUCAAACUCUUGUUGUGUUGUAGUAAACAAAAAUUGCGCCAUAGAUGGUGUGACAGUAGAUGAGAAGCUAUAAAAGAGAAAGUAUAUGAAGAUAACAAGCUGGCUACUACGUUCUCACAAAUUGUGACUGUAAACGUUAAUAUGGAAAAGUGUUGGUUUGAUUUAAGAUCGUGUGUUUUUGUGAGUCAAUGAAUUAGUGUGUGUAUGAAUCUGCAUACACAGACAUUCAAGAUGUGGUCACUCCAGUAGCUUGAAACAGUAAUCAAUCUACCUCAAAUGAUAAUAAUUAGAGAAAGCACACCUCCAUAAAAUAAAAAAGGACAGGCUGGUCUUUGAUCAGGGCUUACUUGGAGCUUAACGUGUGUGUGUGUCUGUAUGUGUGCGUUACGACUCAGCAAGAUAACAGUUACGCAGUCGCUCAGUCUGCUAGAAAUAGUAGCCAAAUUUUCUUGAAAUUAAACCUACCGUCUUCAAAAAAAAAAAAAAAAAGGACACGUUGGUUAACCUAGCGCUAGGAACCCCGAAUAGUACAGAAUGAACACGGCUGGAAUGCUUUAAUCACGACUGACCCUGGGGCUAAACAACAUUAAUAGCAACAGUGAGAAGGAAUAAUGACUGUAUAUAUAUAUGUGAAUGAAUGAGUAAAUGUCAAUGUGUGUGAGCUUGUGUGAAUUUCCAUAAACUAUGUGUAUGUAUUUAGGUGUGCAAAUCAAGGUCUAACCAUUACUGUAACAUAAGUGAACGUAUUCAUAUACUUAUGGAUACGAGUGUUUCUCUGUGAGUGUAUAUAAGAGUAUACACCUCUUAUGUGUUGUGUGAAUGUAUUAUAUAUAGUAGAACCUAUAUGUUUGUGUACAUUUCAGUUAAUAUUGUAGCUAUGUAUGAGUGUGUUCAGUCGUAACUGGAUGUCAUUGUGACUCAGUGAAUAACAAAUUCGUAUAUGUGUCUGUGUGUGUAUAAAAUUGUGAAUUAGACUAUGAAAAAUGUGUUUGUGUGCAACAGUUCGAGCUCGCACGAACAAUCUACGUUUAUCUCUCUUUCCCUUUCUCUCUCUCUCUCUCUUUCAUUCUCUCAGUAGACGCAUACACAUGUAUGUGUGUGAGUAAUAUAUAUAUAUAUAUAUAUAUAUAUAUAUAUCAGAAUGUAUAUCUGUAACUAUAUACCGUACACACAAGUGCCUAUAUAUGCUUGUGAUUGUGUAGUUUGGAUAUGCAUAGUUAUGUCUGUACGUGUAGGUGGAUUUAUAACUUGUAGGCAUAUGCGUAUUCUCGAAGGUCUAUGUUUGUAGGAAUAUGCCUGUGUGUAUCUGUGUAGGUGUGUAUAUAUAUAUAUAUAUAUAUAAUAUAUAUAUAUAUAUAUAUAUAUAUAUAUAUAUAUAUAUAUAUAUAUAUAUAUAUAUAUAUAUAUAUAUAUAUAUAUAUAUAUAUAUAUAUAUAUAUAUAUAUAUAUAUAUAUAUACAUAUAUAUAUAUACAUAUAUAUAUACAUAUAUACAUAUAUAUAUAUAUAUAUAUAUAUACAUAUAUAUACAUAUAUAUAUAUAUAUAUACAUAUAUAUAUACAUAUAUAUAUACAUAUAUAUAUAUAUAUAUAUAUAUAUAUAUAUAUAUAUAUAUAUAUAUAUAUAUAUAUAUAUAUAUAUAUAUAUAUACACAGACGUACGAACAUGCGUAGAUAGAUAAAUAAGUAGGUAGGUAGGUAAGUGGAUAGAUGGAUACACAGAUAAAUAAACAUUUGAAGUAAGAAAAAAAAAAUGUAUAAUCUACAUAUCCAUGUGGAUGUGUUUUAGCGCAAGUGCAGGGUAGGUGCAUAUUUUUUCCCCCCGCCUUUAUAUCUUCUAUAAACAUCCCCCCAUAAUCCAUGCCCUCCCGUCUCGUACACACACACACACACACGCAUAAAUGUAUUAUAAAUACAUACGCGCGCACACACACAGACACACACACACACCACACACCUAUCUACACGCCCGUUGCCUUGACACGAUGUGUGCUCAUUUUUCUCCGACUUUCUUCCUCUUUGAAUGUAUCAGAUACUCUACGUGUAUAAAUAGAUGGAUGAGAUCUGUGCGUGUGUGUGGUGUGCGCGUGUACGUGUGUGUGUGUGUGUGUGUGUGUGUACCUGUCUGCUUAUCAUCACACAACUGCUCACCUAAGUGAGUUGUAUUUUUCUUAAUCCAAUCUCCACAGAAACGCUAGAAAGGUUGAGUCGCAUUACCAGGAAAUCGGACGCAAACAGAC
RNAcentral lists this long non-coding RNA (3488 nucleotides) under Octopus vulgaris (common octopus). The record is from RNAcentral. Lineage: Eukaryota; Metazoa; Mollusca; Cephalopoda; Octopoda; Octopodidae.